RNAcentral lists this unclassified non-coding RNA (333 nucleotides) under soil metagenome. Its description in RNAcentral is "partial contains 5.8S ribosomal RNA, internal transcribed spacer 2, and large subunit ribosomal RNA". The stretch from base 1 to 121 matches the Rfam family "5.8S ribosomal RNA", at positions 35 to 154 of the family's 154-position model. The record is from RNAcentral.
GAUGAAGAACGCAGCGAAAUGCGAUAAGUAAUGCGAAUUGCAGAAUUUCCGUGAGUCAUCGAAUCUUUGAACGCACAUUGCGCCCACUGGUAUUCUGGCGGGCAUGCCUGUUCGAGCGUCAUUUCAACCCUCAAGCACAGCUUGGUGUUGGGACUCGCGUUAAUUCGCGUUCCUCAAAUUGAUUGGCGGUCACGUCGAGCUUCCAUAGCGUAGUAGUAAAACCCUCGUUACUGGUAAUCGUCGCGGCCACGCCGUUAAACCCCAACUUCUGAAUGUUGACCUCGGAUCAGGUAGGAAUACCCGCUGAACUUAAGCAUAUCAAUAAGCGGAGGA